Molecule: ribosomal RNA, 693 nt
Filed under: uncultured bacterium
Lineage: Bacteria
Description: bacterial SSU rRNA
Rfam family: Bacterial small subunit ribosomal RNA
Source: RNAcentral
AGAGUUUGAUCCUGGCUCAGAUUGAACGCUGGCGGAAUGCUUUACACAUGCAAGUCGAACGGCAGCACGGGGGCAACCCUGGUGGCGAGUGGCGAACGGGUGAGUAACACAUCGGAACGUGCCCAGUCGUGGGGGAUAACUACGCGAAAGCGUAGCUAAUACCGCAUACGAUCUGAGGAUGAAAGCGGGGGACCUGCGAGGGCCUCGCGCGAUUGGAGCGGCCGAUGGCAGAUUAGGUAGUUGGUGGGGUAAAGGCCUACCAAGCCUGCGAUCUGUAGCUGGUCUGAGAGGACGACCAGCCACACUGGGACUGAGACACGGCCCAGACUCCUACGGGAGGCAGCAGUGGGGAAUUUUGGACAAUGGGCGCAAGCCUGAUCCAGCCAUUCCGCGUGCAGGAUGAAGGCCCUCGGGUUGUAAACUGCUUUUGUACGGAACGAAACGCGCCGAGUUAAUACCUUGGCGUAAUGACGGUACCGUAAGAAUAAGCACCGGCCAACUACGUGCCAGCAGCCGCGGUAAUACGUAGGGUGCGAGCGUUAAUCGGAAUUACUGGGCGUAAAGCGUGCGCAGGCGGUGAUGUAAGACAGAUGUGAAAUCCCCGGGCUCAACCUGGGAACUGCAUUUGUGACUGCAUUGCUGGAGUGCGGCAGAGGGGGAUGGAAUUCCGCGUGUAGCAGUGAAAUGCGUAGA